RNAcentral lists this unclassified non-coding RNA (1976 nucleotides) under uncultured fungus. RNAcentral describes it as "sequence contains 18S rRNA gene, ITS1, 5.8S rRNA gene, ITS2, 28S rRNA gene". The stretch from base 743 to 1976 matches the Rfam family "Eukaryotic large subunit ribosomal RNA", at positions 1 to 961 of the family's 3401-position model. Lineage: Eukaryota; Fungi. The record is from RNAcentral.
GGAGGGAUAAUCAAAGGAAAUUUUUACUUGUACCUUUUUGCGGGGUACAUACAAACAAACGAUCGCAACUAUUGUCAAUGGGGGGUUUUUUGUUGGGGAGGGAGAAAAAAAGUGCUUGCCUGAUAAAAAAACAUUGGGUUGGAAAAAAAGAAAUACAACUUUCAACAACGGAUCUCUUGGCUCUCACAUCGAUGAAGAACAUAGCAAAGUGUGAAAAUUAAUGUGAAUUGCAGAAUUCAGUGAAUCAUUGAGUCUUUGAACGCAUCUUGCACUCUUUGGUAUUCCAAAGAGUAUGCCUGGUUGAGUAAUGUGAACACACAUACAAGUCAAUCUUUUUUUCUUGGAAAAAGAUUGGAGUUGAGUGGAUUUACCUGGUCUCUUUCUCUCUUGAGAGAAAGACAAGGUUCACUUGAAAUGAAGGGAAUGAAGGAUGACAACAAAACAAGGGGCUUGGAAUUAGUCAAGAGGAGAAAGACAGCAACUCUCUUGUUGAUUUUCUCUCUUUACCUGAGAGUUUUUAACAAGAGGGGGGAACAACGCGUCUAGCUUGAUAAUAACAAUGACUUGAUGAAGGGGGACUGUGUGUGAUUUUUUAUAAAAGGUCUUGUUUAGAGCUUUUCUGCAUUUCCGCGUUGUCAGAACUCUCUGACUGGGUUUUCUUGUAAAACGCAUCCCCUUGAAAGUUUUCUAGUAAUUCCACAACUAGGAAAAAGAAAGAAUUUCUUUCUGUCUACAAAAUUAUCAUUCUCAACUCAGGCAAGACUACCCGCUGAAUUUAAGCAUAUAAAUAAGCGGAGGAAAAGAAACUAACUAGGAUUCCCUCAGUAACUGCGAGUGAAGCGGGAAAAGCUCAAUUUUGAAAUCUACCAAGAGUAGCAUUCUUGGUCGAAUUGUAGUUUCAAGAAAGAAUGACUGAGAGAAGCCGGUUUGGAUGCAAGUUCUUUGGAAUGCGACAUCAGAGAGGGUGACAAUCCCGUCCAUCGUCCAUCCGUUGAUAAGAAUGCUUCUCACCAAAAAGGUCGUCUUUUCCAAGAGUCGAGUUGUUUGGGAUUGCAGCUCAAAAUGGGUGGUAAAUUUCAUCUAAGGCUAAAUAUGGGUGAGAGACCGAUAGCGAACAAGUACCGUGAGGGAAAGAUGAAAAGCACUCUGAAGAGAGAGUGAAAAGUACGUGAAAUUGUUGAAAGGGAAACGCUUGAAACCAGUCAAGGUUUGCUAGAUUUCAGGAGAAUGUGUGUGUUGGGCGAGAUUGGCGUGGAGAUUUGUUUUUGUAUGGACAGACUUUUGCGCCAGCUUUUUAGCUUGAUCAUGCUCUCUGUACGUUUCUAGUAAACAAGUCAGCAUCAGUUUGAUUUUGCGCUUGGGAGAAGGACAAGUAGGAUUUGGUCGGGCUUUUGUUGGGGAUUUUUUUCUCUUGCAAAGGUUUGGAGCCUUGCUUGGCAUAUACCAAGUGUCAGACUGAGGAUUGCAUUACAAGGCAUUGACUUGGAAUAGGCAAUCUUGCGGGGUUGCCCUUGGUAAACAGCUUGCUGAUUGUCAAGGGUUUUUUAACCCCCAAGCCUUGUCAAAUCCAAGCUGGUCUUUGAUUUUGGAUGUUGACGAAAUGGUUUUAAACGACCCGUCUUGAAACACGGACCAAGGAGUCUAACAUGGAUGCAAGUAUUUGGGUGAUUGGAAACCCAUAUGCGCAAUGAAAGUGAGGUCUCUUUUUCCUCGGGAGAAGAGAAAUAGGUAGGAUGCCCUUGUGUAGCGAUAUAUGUGGGGGCUGCACUAUCGACCAAUCUUGACUAGCCUCGGCUUGAUAGAUUUGAGUGAGAGCAUGUAUGUUGGGACCCGAAAGAUGGUGAACUAUGCCUGAAUAGGGUGAAGUCAGACGAAAGUCUGAUGGAAGCUCGUAGCGAUUCUGACGUGCAAAUCGAUCGUCAAAUUUGGGUAUAGGGGCGAAAGACUAAUCGAACCAUCUAGUAGCUGGUUCCUGC